CAUACGAGCGUGAAUGUUAGAUCCCAAGACUUAAUUCCUUACCACAACGACAUUGGAGGGGCAUACUUCCCUUUCAACUCAAAACUAACAUAUCAUAUGUUUAAUAAACAGGGAAUUCGUGAGUGUAGGAUGAUCUCUUAGUUUCCAGUGUAUAGGAUGAUCUCUAAGGAGUAUCAAUUUUAUGGGGAUAUUUGCGAGAUGGAGAAGAAGAAUAAGAACUAGGACCUCUUGGGCGUGUGUUGCGGCAUAAAUUGCCCGAAUCCUCUCCAGAUGUGCAGUAUUGCUCUUUAAAGAGUACCCGCAACACGACCUUGAUUUGUAUUGCGAAGUUGCAACAUCUUGCGCUUUGCCGGUGUUCAAAUAUUCAAGCCAAAUCUGUGUUGGUGUACUAGUGGAAGUGUCUCUUGCUAACUGUCCUUCAGACCUGUAUGAUAUUUUUCAAGUUUGACACUUACUACAUUUUCAAUUUCUUAACAUUCGUUACUUCAUUGUGUGUUGGGCACUGUAUAUUCCUUUUUCAUUGUUGAUUGUUCUUCAACUAUUGCUCUUUGCUCCUUUUAUUAUCUAUAUAAGAGUACCUACUGCUAUGAACAUAAUUUGUCUUGGAUGCGUCAAAACAGAACUAAAUAUUUGUAUCAAACGUCCCUUAUGCGGCUAUGCUUAGUGCAAUUCGCAGAAUGCCCGAGUUGAACUGUUAUUCACUUGUAAAUUGGUCAUGCUUUUUAUAUAUAAUUUCUUUUCUGAAGUUUUCAUCUCUUUCGGUAGACAAAGAAAAAAUUGGUAUCCUCCAAUUUCUCAUGGCGAUAAAUCCAUGUAUUCAAGUGGUGAUUUGAACAAUAGGAGUAAGGUAAGCUACAAGGCAACAACUUUUGUGAUAAGAUCAAAACAAUGUUGGAUUUUGUUAUUGAUUAUAAAUGAAUGGAUUGAUACAGAAUGCAAUUGCAGAGAUGGAUCUCCUCUAUUUACUUCAAAUACCACCGACAUACCGGGCUGUACCUACCGGCUACCACUGCCAGCUAAGCUCCAGCUUGCCAAUCACAGGGCUUAAGAGCUUACCUGCCACUGACUAACUGGCUGGUUAACGGGCAGUUUGCCCAGCUGCAUACACUUGACCCCCUCCACGAACUGAUGGUGGAACCUCUGUAAGCAUCAUUUUGGCCUUAAGGUCCGUGAAACUAGCAGUUGUUGAUGGAUUUGUGAACAUGUCAGCUAUCUGAUCCAGGAUGGAAUAUGUUUUGGAACAAUCUGUUUAUGAAGAACCUUUUCUCAGAUAUAAUGAGAGUCAACUUGAACAUCCUUAGUCCUUGCAUGAAAAAUUGUAUUAAACAUUAUAUUAUGGGGUAGGAACCGAAACGAAAAUAAGAAGCAGAAAGGUCCUUGACCAAUUGUUGAAGCCAUACUACCUCAGUUGCAGCAUUACCAAAGAUUUGUAUUCAGCCUCAGAGAAGGAUGUAGCGACAGUUGGUUGCUUUUUGGCUGACCAAGAAAUUACGUAGGCCACAAAACACGCAAUAGCCACUUGUAGAUCGCCUAUCAACUGAUUUGCCUGCCCAAUCAGCAUCAUAAAAUGCCGACACGACUCCACGAGCAGAUUUCAUUCGGCAAACUGAAGGGCUUGGGCUAUGUUACACAGAUCCUCUAUUUUUGGCAAAGCAUCUGUGUCCAUGGGCCACGACACAAGUGGGGGUGUGACUUGUGAGAUCAGAAUUGGACACAACAAGAUUAUAUCAAACUCGGCAAGUCAUGGAUCAAAACAAAAUAAAAGAGAAAGAGGAUUAGAAGGAAGACAUACACAGAUGUUUGUAGUUCUUCAACUUGGUUGAUGACUCGAAGAUUCUUGAAUACUAGACCUGAGUUUGAGAACCUGGCUGUCCAUAUUGUCCCCUAGAAUUGAAAGAAGCCUAUAGUUCAUGUUUCGUUUGUGAUAACAACCAUAGGCCGUUUGAUUUGUUUCUUCACAAAUUUGACACCCCAUGUUAUCUGAGGUGCAAAGCCACCUGAAAUCAUUGAGGGAAAUCAUCCUCUGUUAAUCUGAUUUCCUUUAUAUCUGUUAUUCCCUCUAUUAUUGUGAUUUCCUGAGUUUUUCUAUGCAUCAUUAAAGGUUAGAUAGUUAUGAAGAUUUGGACCAGAACUGGAAAGCUAGGAUAAGAAGUGUGGAGGAGAAUUCUGGACAACUGAAGCUAAGGGGAAACCAGAUGGAGGAGGAGUACAAUAUCUAGAAGUGUGUGCUGCACUUGAAUGUAUUUUUUAUCGGCUUGCUGCACUUGAGUGUUGUGCAAUUAGUACAGCAGAACAGUCAAUAGGAUGAGGUUGAUAAUGUGAAGACCCUCAGCUAUAAGAAUACAGAAAAUUUGCUGAAUGAGAAAGGUUAUGUGCUUGUUCUGAUAGCUCGCAUCAACAUUUUGAACCGUCUAUGCAAUCCAUUGGGUGUAUGAAAUACAAGAUAUAUCUUCAUCAUCAAUUUAUAUACAUAAUGUAGCUAAUUUCUGUAUAAUGCCUUUAAUUGAAUCCAGAUAUGCUUCCAUAGUUGUGGUGUUUUUGAGGUUGAGCAACUUCCGUUUGAGAUCAUGGAUAUGAUUGAGAUGAUGUGCUGAACAUAUUGUCAAGUGUCGGCCAACUUGAUGAGCAUGCUGGGAUCCAACGACAUGUGGAAGGACUGAAGGUGUUAGAGUUGCUAUAAUACUCCACAUGAAAGCAACAUGCGGUCGCUAGAACUCCAAGAGCUACGCUUGCAAUGUUUUAAUGGAUACAAACUCCAUGAAAUGCGAGUUAGUGAACGAACCGACUCUCUCUCUCUCUCUCUCUCUCUCUCUCUCUCUCUCUCUCUCUCUCUCUCUCUCUCAUGCUUUCUUCUUUCUUUUUCCUUAUUUUUGGCUCGACCUCAAAUUUCAUUUACAGAAGUGGUAAAGCGCUGAACCUGGAGACUGGAACUUACUAUGUCAAAUAUAAAGAUAAGGAAUUGAGUUGAUUUUAAUAGCUUGCAAUGAGUACUUACAAGAUUGUAUACAAACUUAUAGAUCUCUGGGCAACACUUUGAUUCUGUUAAUGCUUGAGCCAAAGCAGCCAAUUACCAUUCUUGCCUCUGUUGUUGUAUCCUAUCAAGGGUUAGCUCUCAUUUGGAUGGAAGAAAUCAAGGAAACCACAAAGGCGUUGAAUUAGAAAUCAAGGAAACCACCUAGUCUUUUUUUCUUCA
This is a long non-coding RNA of Rhododendron vialii, 3193 nucleotides long. RefSeq lists it as uncharacterized. The transcript is spliced from 2 exons. Lineage: Eukaryota; Viridiplantae; Streptophyta; Magnoliopsida; Ericales; Ericaceae. The record is from RefSeq and is a predicted model, not a curated record.